Molecule: long non-coding RNA, 253 nt
Organism: Papaver somniferum (opium poppy)
Lineage: Eukaryota; Viridiplantae; Streptophyta; Magnoliopsida; Ranunculales; Papaveraceae
Exons: 2
Source: RefSeq, a predicted model, not a curated record
CUUAGGGUUUUGAAGCACAUGACAUAUAGCAGAAGGAAGGAGCUCUGCAAACUUAAAGGGGGAUUAGGCGGAAAGGGAAUAUAAGGAGGCACACUUCAAACGGAAAACGACAAUAGGGUGAUCCAAACGAUUCAAACCAUGACAGUAGUGAGAUAUAAGAAGUCCCCUAGGAACUACAAAUGAAUUUUUCAUUUGAUUUAUUAUUGUGUUGACGAUGAUCAAGUAAUUAUACUUUUCAUAUUGUAACAGAAAA